Molecule: ribosomal RNA, 483 nt
Filed under: uncultured bacterium
Lineage: Bacteria
Description: partial 16S ribosomal RNA
Rfam family: Bacterial small subunit ribosomal RNA
Source: RNAcentral
UUGAACGCUGGCGGCAGGCCUAACACAUGCAAGUCGAGCGGAUGAAGGGAGCUUGCUCCUGGAUUCAGCGGCGGACGGGUGAGUAAUGCCUAGGAAUCUGCCUGGUAGUGGGGGAUAACGUCCGGAAACGGGCGCUAAUACCGCAUACGUCCUGAGGGAGAAAGUGGGGGAUCUUCGGACCUCACGCUAUCAGAUGAGCCUAGGUCGGAUUAGCUAGUUGGUGGGGUAAAGGCCUACCAAGGCGACGAUCCGUAACUGGUCUGAGAGGAUGAUCAGUCACACUGGAACUGAGACACGGUCCAGACUCCUACGGGAGGCAGCAGUGGGGAAUAUUGGACGAUGGACGAAAGCCUAAUCCAGCCAUGCCGCGUGUGUGAAGAAGGUCUUCGGAUUGUAAAGCACUUUAAGUUGGGAGGAAGGGCAGUAAGUUAAUACCUUGCUGUUUUGACGUUACCAACAGAAUAAGCACCGGCUAACUUCGUG